Molecule: ribosomal RNA, 539 nt
Filed under: Acinetobacter schindleri
Lineage: Bacteria; Pseudomonadati; Pseudomonadota; Gammaproteobacteria; Moraxellales; Moraxellaceae
Description: bacterial SSU rRNA
Rfam family: Bacterial small subunit ribosomal RNA
Source: RNAcentral
GCUGAUCAGCCAUGCCGCGUGUGUGAGAGGCCUUUUGGUUGUAAAGCACUUUAAGCGAGGAGGAGGCUCCUUUAGUUAAUACCUAAAGUGAGUGGACGUUACUCGCAGAAUAAGCACCGGCUAACUCUGUGCCAGCAGCCGCGGUAAUACAGAGGGUGCGAGCGUUAAUCGGAUUUACUGGGCGUAAAGCGUGCGUAGGCGGCUUUUUAAGUCGGAUGUGAAAUCCCUGAGCUUAACUUAGGAAUUGCAUUCGAUACUGGAAAGCUAGAGUAUGGGAGAGGAUGGUAGAAUUCCAGGUGUAGCGGUGAAAUGCGUAGAGAUCUGGAGGAAUACCGAUGGCGAAGGCAGCCAUCUGGCCUAAUACUGACGCUGAGGUACGAAAGCAUGGGGAGCAAACAGGAUUAGAUACCCUGGUAGUCCAUGCCGUAAACGAUGUCUACUAGCCGUUGGGGCCUUUGAGGCUUUAGUGGCGCAGCUAACGCGAUAAGUAGACCGCCUGGGGAGUACGGUCGCAAGACUAAAACUCAAAUGAAUUGACG